Molecule: ribosomal RNA, 378 nt
Filed under: uncultured bacterium
Lineage: Bacteria
Description: bacterial SSU rRNA
Rfam family: Bacterial small subunit ribosomal RNA
Source: RNAcentral
UAAUACAGAGGGUGCGAGCGUUAAUCGGAAUUACUGGGCGUAAAGGGUGCGUAGGUGGUUAUUUAAGUUAGGUGUGAAAUUCCCGAGCUCAACUUGGGGACUGCGCCUGAUACUGGAUAGCUAGAGUCCUGUAGAGGGAAGUGGAAUUUCCGGUGUAGCGGUGAAAUGCGUAGAUAUCGGAAGGAACAUCGGUGGCGAAGGCGACUUUCUGGACAGAGACUGACACUGAGGCACGAAAGCAUGGGGAGCAAACAGGAUUAGAUACCCUGGUAGUCCAUGCUGUAAACGAUGAAGACUGGCUGUUGGGUACCCACAGGGUAUUUAGUAGCGAAGCAAACGCGUUAAGUCUUCCGCCUGGGGAGUACGGCCGCAAGGUUA